Molecule: ribosomal RNA, 254 nt
Filed under: uncultured bacterium
Lineage: Bacteria
Description: partial 16S ribosomal RNA
Rfam family: Bacterial small subunit ribosomal RNA
Source: RNAcentral
UACGAAUGGGGCAAGCGUUGUUCGGAAUCACUGGGCGUAAAGCGUGUGUAGGCGGUUAAUCAAGUCAGAAGUGAAAAUCCCAGGGCUUAACCCUGGAAUUGCUUUUGAAACUGAUUGGCUAGAGUACUGGAGAGGUUAGCAGAAUUCCGAGUGUAGAGGUGAAAUUCGCAGAUAUUCGGAGGAAUACCAGUGGCGUAAGCGGCUAACUGGACAGUAACUGACGCUGAGACACGAAAGCGUGGGGAUCAAACAGG